UACGUAGGGCGCAAGCGUUGUCCGGAAUUAUUGGGCGUAAAGAGCUCGUAGGCGGCCAGUUGCGUCUGCUGUGAAAUCCCGGGGCUCAACCCCGGGCUUGCAGUGGAUACGGGCUGGCUAGAGGCAGGCAGGGGAGAACGGAAUUCCCGGUGUAGCGGUGAAGUGCGCAGAUAUCGGGAGGAACACCGGUGGCGAAGGCGGUUCUCUGGGCCUGUACUGACGCUGAGGAGCGAAAGCGUGGGGAGCGAACAGG
RNAcentral lists this ribosomal RNA (253 nucleotides) under uncultured bacterium. Its description in RNAcentral is "partial 16S ribosomal RNA". It matches the Rfam family "Bacterial small subunit ribosomal RNA", at positions 524 to 776 of the family's 1533-position model. The record is from RNAcentral.